GAAAUGCGAUAAGUAGUGUGAAUUGCAGAAUUCAGUGAAUCAUCGAAUCUUUGAACGCACAUUGCGCCCCUUGGUAUUCCAUGGGGUAUGCCUGUUCGAGCGUCAUUUGUACCCUCAAGCUCUGCUUGGUGUUGGGUGUUUGUCCCGUCUCCGCGCGUGGACUCGCCCCAAAGUGAUUGGCAGCCGGCGUACUGGUCCCGGAGCGCAGCACAUGUCGCGCAAACGAGUGCCUUGGUACGGCGGCGUCCAUAAGCCCCUCUCUCACGCUCUUGACCUCGGAUCAGGUAGGGAUACCCGCUGAACUUAAGC
RNAcentral lists this unclassified non-coding RNA (309 nucleotides) under plant metagenome. RNAcentral's name for it is "partial contains 5.8S ribosomal RNA, internal transcribed spacer 2, and large subunit ribosomal RNA". The stretch from base 1 to 105 matches the Rfam family "5.8S ribosomal RNA", at positions 50 to 154 of the family's 154-position model. The record is from RNAcentral.